UGCCCCUUAUGAUUUGGGCUACACACGUGCUACAAUGGACAAUACAAAGGGCAGCGAAACCGCGAGGUCAAGCAAAUCCCAUAAAGUUGUUCUCAGUUCGGAUUGUAGUCUGCAACUCGACUACAUGAAGCUGGAAUCGCUAGUAAUCGUAGAUCAGCAUGCUACGGUGAAUACGUUCCCGGGUCUUGUACACACCGCCCGUCACACCACGAGAGUUUGUAACACCCGAAGCCGGUGGAGUAACCUUUUAGGAGCUAGCCGUCGAAGGUGGGACAAAUGAUUGGGGUGAAGUCGUAACAAGGUAGCCGUAUCGGAAGGUGCGGCUGGAUCACCUCCUUU
Molecule: ribosomal RNA, 339 nt
Filed under: Staphylococcus aureus
Lineage: Bacteria; Bacillati; Bacillota; Bacilli; Caryophanales; Staphylococcaceae
Description: bacterial SSU rRNA
Rfam family: Bacterial small subunit ribosomal RNA
Source: RNAcentral